This 253-nucleotide ribosomal RNA is filed under the name uncultured bacterium. RNAcentral's name for it is "partial 16S ribosomal RNA". It matches the Rfam family "Bacterial small subunit ribosomal RNA", at positions 524 to 776 of the family's 1533-position model. The record is from RNAcentral.
UACGUAGGGUGCGAGCGUUAAUCGGAAUUACUGGGCGUAAAGCGUGCGCAGGCGGUUUUGUAAGCCAGGUGUGAAAUCCCCGGGCUUAACCUGGGAACUGCAUUUGUGACUGGCGGGCUAGAGUAUGGCAGAGGGGGGUAGAAUUCCACGUGUAGCAGUGAAAUGCGUAGAGAUGUGGAGGAAUACCGAUGGCGAAGGCAGCCCCCUGGGCCAAUACUGACGCUCAUGCACGAAAGCGUGGGGAGCAAACAGG